This 40061-nucleotide long non-coding RNA is filed under the name Homo sapiens (human). RNAcentral's name for it is "non-protein coding LINC02100:18". Lineage: Eukaryota; Metazoa; Chordata; Mammalia; Primates; Hominidae. The record is from RNAcentral.
GCUUUCACUUUAAUAGAUCGUGCGGCUGCACACGCUUUGGGUCCAUGCAUUUCUCUAAUCGAGCUGUAACACUUGCUGCUGCGGUCCAUGGCUCCAUUCCUUGAAGCCCACGAGACCAGGAACCCUUGGAUUGAGAAAAAACCUUCAAUUGGGAGGAUACUUCUUAUCUCAUUUCUAGGGGCCCAUCCGGGAUUUCUCCACAGCAGAAUGCACUUAAAUAAUUACACCAGCCUUGUCAUGGAUGCUGCUUUGAAGAACAAAGAUGCUCAAGCUGAGCUUUCACUCUCUGUCCACCACUGCUGUUUGCCACUGCCGCAGACACGCGCUGACUUCCAUCCCUUCGGAUCCGGCAGGGUGUCCUCUGUGCUCCUGAUCCAGUGAGGUGCCCAUUGCUGCUCCCGAUCCGACUAAAGGCUUGCCAUUGUUCCUGCAUGGCUAAGUGCCCAGGUGAGGGGAGCCAGUGGCAAACUGUAAGAUGUGCCACUGAGAUCCCCCUUCAAGUUCAGUUCUUCAGAGUCUGCUUCAGCUGCGUGAAGUGCUUUUACCCUAAGUCUCCCCAUCUUCUUCAGACCAGCCGGCAUACAGCAACUGAGCAGGGUAGGAGUAUAAGGGGUAGUUCAUUUGAGCCUGACAUGGGGCACUGAGAUAGGCAAUAGCAGCUUCAGAGCCAUUCUGAGUAGCGUGAUGAAACCUCAAACCAUCCCAUUCUGUCCUCCCUGAGACAUGAAUCAUCCCUUUGUCCAGCACAUAUAACCAUGUUGUCCACAUUACUGGCCUAUAAUUAGUUACUUAGUAGCCAGCUCGGUUAUCAGAAUGACUAUGGUGAUAUCGAUGUGCUUGUGCUUAAGUAAACCUUAUUUUACUUAACAAUAAUCCCAAAGCUCAAGACUAAUAAUACUGGCAUACUGUCAUAAUUUUUUAUUGUAUUAUUAGUUAUUGUUGUUAUCUCUACUGUUCCUAAUUUAUAAAUUAAGCUUUAUGAUAGAUAUGUAUAUACAGGAAGAAACAUAGUAUAUAUAGGAUAUGGUACGACCUGCAAUUCCAUGCACCCAUGGGGGGUCUUGGAAUAGAUCCACCGAGGAUAAGAGGGAACUACUGUAUUAAGUAAUGGGGCCACUCCUCUUUGCAUACGUUACAUUCCAAAUGCAUAUAUUCUUUCCACUAGAGCCACAGAGCCAUCAAAGAUCUUCUAUUAUCUAUAUGCUGCGUCCUAGAUGAUGAAACACAAUUCUCAGGAAGUAUUGGCUCCAAACUGGCAUUUUAGCUGUGCAGGCCUUUUCAGCACUCUCUCACACUGACAGCUUCUGGGUGGGUCAGUACGUCAUCUCAUGGUCAUAGGCCCACUUACUCUUCUCCUUUACCAUAAACUAAGUCUUGGUCUAAUGGAAUAAUAAUGUGUUUUGAUGCCAGUGGAACCAAAACUCUGCAAGUCCACAGAUAGUAAUGUUUACUGUUGCUUUACAGGUAAGAAUGGUACCCCCCUACUAAGAAAGUGUGUAUGGCAGGUAAACACUGAGCACACAUGGAUAUAAACACAGGGAUAAUAGACACUGCAGACUACUAGGGAAAGGAUGGAAGGAGAGAGACAUGGGAGAAAAACUACCUAUUGGGUGCUAUGCUCACUACGUGGGUCUAAUACACUAUGUAACAAUUCUACACAUGUACCCCCGUAUCUAAAAUAAAAGCUGUUUUUUUAAAAGAAAAAUUGCUGUAAAUAAUGGAAAGAAAAUGACAGGGCUAAUAUUUUGGGAAUCUUAGAAAAGAAUUAUAUUCAAAUUACAUAAGAAGAAAGACAGAGUCGGGUGCGGUGGCUCACGCCUGUAAUCCUAGCACUUUAGGAGGCCGAGGCAGACGGAUCACGAGGUCAGGAGCUCGAGACCAUCCUGGCUAACAAGGUGAAACCCCGUCUCUACUAAAAAUACAAAAAAAAAAUUAUCCGGGUAUGGUGGCGGGCGCCUGUAGUUCCAGCUACUCGAAAGGCUGAGGCUGGAGAAUGGCAUGAACCUGGGAGGCGGAGCUUGCAGUGAGCCGGGACCGUGCCACUGCACUCCAGCCUUGGCGACAGAGUGAGACUCCGUCUCAAAAAAAAGAAAAAAAAAAAGAAGAAAGACAGGAGUUAUUAUCUUAGUCUGUUUUGUACUUCUACAAAAAAAAUACCUGAAAUUGGGUAAUUGAUAAAGAAUAGAUUUUUUUUUUUUCUCACAGUUCUGGGGGCUGAGAAGUUUAAGUUCAAGGCACCAGCCAGUUUGAUGUCUAGUAAGGACCCCAUCUCUGCUUCUAAGAUGUAACCUCCAGAGGAAAGAAACACUGUUCUCCACAUGGCAGAACAGUGGAGCUAAAACUCAUUUCUUAAUGUCCUUUUCAAAAGUAUUUGAUCUACCCAUGUGGGCAGAUCCCUCCUGGCCUAAUCGCCUCAUAAAGGCCCACUUCUCAAUAUCAUUACACUGAUGAUUAAAUUUCAGCGUUAAGUUUUGAGAUAAAUAUUCAAACCAUGGCAGUUGUCUAUUUGAAUUUUACCUUCAAAAACUCCGUUCACUUAUAUUAUCAUGUGGAACACCAUACUUCUUUGAGUUUGCUUCUUCCUUUCUCUCUCUCUCCCUCUCUGGAUAUGCCUUCUCAGUGUCUCUUCAUUCAAUUUAUUCUGUCUGUUCUUUACAUGUGUCUAUUAUUGAGAGAUCAAUGACAGUUCAAGUUGCUUCUUAUUUUUAAUGCUUUUGUAUCUCAUUUUCAUGCCUUUAAUUAUUAUUGAUGGACUGAUAAUUUCCAGGUCUCUUCUGCCAGCUCAGAUAUCACUAAUCACAGCUGGAUUUAUAUAUACACUGCUUAUGAGACAUCAUUCAAAUCAUGCUGCUCAAAAGAUGACCCAAGAUCUUUUUAUUCUUAACUGGGGUGUGUGUGUGUGUGUGUGUGUGUGUGUGUGUACAUCUUUCUAUACACGACACUACUAUAGUUCACCCACACCCUAAGUCAGAGACAAGUUCAUUGACAUUGUCACAGGCCACAGCCAAUCAUGUCACAGCAACUCUUAGUGAAAUUGUACACUUUUGAGGCUGCUAGCCCAGAAUGUGAAGCCAGAAUCAUGCUGUUUUUAAGUAACUACGUGAUCUUGGGCAAUUUGUGCAAUUAUUCUAUCCCUUAAUUCCCACAUCUGCCAAAUUGAAAUUAAAGUAGAACUCAACACAAAGGUUUUUGUGUGGGUAAAAUACAUUGAGAUAUACACAGCGCCUUACUAUAUAAACACUGUAUGUGUCAGCUACUGUUGUGUUAAGAGUAUUAUGAUUGAUAACAUCUACUAAAUCUCUCUCUCGCCUUACUGCUAUUUCUCUAAUUCAGAAUUCUAUUAUUUUGCAAGUAUCACUGAAAAAGCUAACUUCUCUCUUCAGUGUUGCUGUUUCAUAAUCCUUUCUAUAUAUUACAGUGAUUUUACUAAAAUGGGAAUAGAAUUAAGUUGCUUCUUUAAAUAAAAUUCUUUAAUAAGAUUAUAUAAUAUAUUUUAUUAUAUGAUCAUUCUUGUUCCUCCUGACUAACCACCUUAUUAGGGAUUUUCUGGUUAUUUUAUCUUUCUACAUAAAAUUUGGAUUUGACUUGACAGUGAUUGCGGAAAACAUAUUUCUAUUUUGCCAUUAUUUUAUUACAUUUAUAGAUUAAUAUGGACUGAAUUGUCAUCAUUAUGAUGUUGUGUUUUUAUUCCAAGACAUUACAUGCUUAUAUAUUUGAUAACAACUUACUUUAAGUUCUCCAAUAGUAUACAAUUUUUCCCCUUAAAAAUCAUGCACAUUGAUUAUGAGGUCUGUUUCAAGUUUUUUGCUUUGCAAAAUAGGGUGUUUUCUAAUUAUAUAAUGUAUAUGUUAUGAACUAUUUAUUUUUAUUUUGUAUUCACCUACCUUAAUCAUUUGCCAUCAUGUUUAGAGUCAUUUUUUUCAGUCUUGGCUCCUGUAUACUGAAAGUGUUGAAUCGUAUCAUCUGUAAAUGAUGACAGUUUUGCCUCUUUAUUUCUUAUGCCUUGUCAAAUCUUAAUAGCUAGAUACAAGAAUAUUUGCUUCUAGCUAUAGCAGAUGAACUUGAAUAUAGCCAUCCGUCUUGCUAGACUAAUUAGUAAGGCUGGAUAAAAUAUGAAAGAUAAAGUGUUAGAGGGCACCUGAGAUCUCUACCAAGCAGCAGAGACUUGAGGAGGCAAGACUCCAGAAAGAAGGGAAGCACAUAAACAUAAAUUAGAUGUUCUGUUCAGAUUUUUGCUAUGACACAUUUGCCAGUUGAAAGAGGCAGAAGGAGGCAUCUAAAAAUCUUGAAAGUCAAACUGUCUAUGCAACAACAUUUUGGACCUGGUGUGCUAAAAAAUGAAUUCACAUCAGAUUGAAGAAAAGCACAGGGAGAUGUGAAUGAUAUGGGCUGCUGAAUAAGAUGUGUCUUCAACACAAUCUCCUAUUAGGGCAAAAUUCAAAUAAAAGAAAUAUAUUGAGAUUAUAUAGAAUUUUGAUGCUGACUGGCCAUGAAUUCCAGAGGACACAAUAAAAAAAUUUUCUGAGUGAGAGGAAUUGGAAGAUAAGGCUAUCUGGAUAGCUGUAUCAGGACAGACAUGGCUGAGAACAAAUAAUUGUCUGUAAUAGAACAUGCAAAUUCUUCCUUAGAAUGUAGUAAAGGGACUCCUUUAUUCAUAUGUGCUCCUGCCACAACUCUGAAUGCAUAGAUUCUUUUGACUUGACAUAAAUGCCACAGAUUUGUUUUUAUUUUAAUGAAGUCCAAUAACAGGAGAUCCACCAAUAACCUGGAGGUAGCAGGUAGCUAUUGAAAGGAAGUUUAUGAAAUUAUUAGAAAAUGAUUUAUUGAAACUUUCUAUUACCCAUCUCCUAGCAUUCAAUAUCUGCCCUCAUUAAACUCUACUAGUAAAUUUAAUAAUCACCUUUUGCACAAUCAAAUUUUUAUUAUUUUGGUUGUUAAGUGGGACAUAACACCAUGGUCCCAAAUUUUCUAUAUUUUAAAAUGCAUUUUCUUCAUUUAUACUUCAUACCAUUCUACCAAUUUUCCUAACUGGUUGAAUUCAUUGCUUUGAUUUCUGAUUAAUUUCUCAUAUUGUAUAAUCCUUGAGAGAAAAUACGUCCUUCACACUCAAAUUGUUUGUUUCCAGUGCCAUAUAGUUAAACCUUUCUUUUAUUCGGCAUGUAUUUCAACCUUCCUUGUCUCUCCAUUAACCACUGUCCUUUCUUCCCUUCACAAUUGGUAAAUGUUUUAUUUUGCAAAGAGGAUAGGCUAAUUAAUUUACUAAAUAUAAUAGUUUUAUGUAGGAAAAUACACUGAAAUUAGGAAUAUGUAUUCAAAAUGACAUAUAACAAACCCAUUUUUUUCCUUAUCAAUGUUAUCACCCAACAAUGUGGAACAAAAUGAUGUUACUCAAAGACUUCCCAUUUGUCAUGUUGCUUAAAGUCAUAGAUUCCAAGAACUUAACAACAUCGUCAAGCAAGGACUUACUGUACUUAAUAUACAAAUAGUUUUUUUAAUACCAAAAUGUCUCCUUCCUUUGCUGAAUGCUGAUUGCAUACAUUAAAUCUCCAGUUCCUCGAUGAAUGCAUAUUCUUUUAAAAAACAAGCUGUCAUAACCUAUUAUAAGAGCAUAGCAAAUUAGCAAUAUACGUUUACCUCCUUUGUGAUAGAUAAGUGAAGCAAGUUUUGAAACCAAGUUAAUAAUUCUGAAUAAAUCCACAAUUUUUUUUAAAAUGCUGAAAUUUUGUGUAAUAUUUUUCAAAGGUCUUUAGUGUAACAAAUUAGUGAGAUGAAAUGGUAAAAUGUGCCAAUUCGCUUCCUACCAUAGUUCACUUAUAUAUCACUUGCAUUUUAAUCCUUAUAGAUUUUAAUCCUUAUAGAUUUCUGAGAAGACCAUUAUCCUUAACAAACUAACACAAGAACAGAAAAUCAAAUACCACAUGUUCUCAUUUAUAAGUGGGUGCUAAAUGAUGAGAACAUAUAGACACAUAGAGGGGAACAACACACACAGAGGCCUUUCAGAGGAUGGAGGGUGGAAGGAGGGAGAGGAUCAGGAAAAAAUAACUAAUGGAUACUAGGCUUAAUACCUGGGUGAUAAAAUAAUCUGUACAACAAACCUCCAUGACACAAGUUUACCUGUGUAACAAACCUACACUUGUACCCCUGAACUUAAAAUAAAAGUUAAAAAAAGGAAAAUAAAUUUAAAAAGAAUAUUAUGUGGUCUGAACACUUAUUUCUGUUAAUCAAAUUUCUUUGUAAUCAUAUAAUUAUUUAGUACCACCCACUUGUACAACAUUUAUUGCAUACAUCAGUGUUUAUAAUCAUUUCUAACAAAUAAACUUUUUUAUUAAACAUUGGGUAGAAUUUUAUAUGUAUGAUUAUAAUUUAAUAUACUGCAUCAUAUAUACAUACGUAAGAUGCAAUAUAUCAAGUUGAUAUAAGCAGAGCUUAUCUGCCUGAAUUCAUUGUGGAGAUCAUGGUAUCCUAGAUCCUCAACUUCCAAUGAUAUCUGUUUACUCUUCAUUAGCCACCACUGUAAAAGAAACAAGAUUUAUUAACCACUUGAUGGCUUUCUAUUCUAGAAUAUAGUGACUGCAUUAUCGAAAUGCAUAUGGCAUGUCAUUUGGGAGAAUAACCUGGUAUAGAAGACAGUGUCCAAUACUCAGAUCAAAAGAAAUGAAUUUGCUUCCUGAUUGUGUCAAAAAUCAGUGGUAAUCUGUUAGCAAUUCACUUAAACUCUUUUAAGGCUUAAUGUAGUCAUACAACUAUGAAUGCAUUAUCAAGCGGAGUUCACAUCAUUUUCAGAAUUGUUGUUAUAUUAUUUUAUGAACCUCUGUGUUUUGAUUAUAUAGUUGGUAGCUAGCUGCUGCACUAAACUGUGAGAAAGAAAAUGACACCUAACAUCCUGAACUAGGUAAGGUUAUGUGUUACUACAAGCUGACUUGAUGCUCCCAGCUAGAGAACACUGUUCUCCUGGUGAACAUAAACAAUCUCACAGAGCAUAACAACAUCAGGUCACGUUGAAGGGAUGAUAAAGUGAGAUAAAACAAGGUCACCAUGUACCCCAUGAAGUACUCGAACAUCCUCCUCUCUCUGCUAAAAUGAAUUAUGGCUGCUUCUUUACCUAGUCUAUCCUUCCUGUAGAUAAGAUUUGUUGAGGUUCUCAAUUAUGAACUUGUCUGUCUUCCUGACAGCAUCCAAUCAUGAUCAAAGCCUGAAUCCUUGGACCCUCCCCUGAAUUACCGGACCAAAGCUCAAAUCCUGUAAUAGGUCUUUCUCUUACUGAGAGAGGCACUAUGGCUUUCUUUGCUGUGUGUUUUCCUUUCAUGCAAAGAGUCAUAAAUUCAACUUGUUCAACUAUCACUGUGUUCUUGGUGGCCUUUGUCUGGAGAUAUUUGACAACUGAAAUUUGUUCAAUUUAAGUAAUGCUGAUGCUUUGCAAUGAAUGCUAUUUGAAAUCUGUAUUAGCAGUUAUAUAACUUCUGCUCUAGCACUCUAUGUAUUUACUUCUAAAAUUAAUAAAAUUCUGACAUGUUUAUAAUAUUCUAUACUUACAUGUGUUUCUCCUUCAAGAUUUUAAUUUGUUAUGUUUCAUGGUAGUAUUUGUUUUAGUAAUGUACUUAUGUGAUAGUUAUUAUAUGUUUUAAAUCAUAUCUCAGUUGAGUUUUUCAUCCAUAGGCCACAUUAAUCAUUUUAAUAAGCCAUGCAGGUUAUAUCAAUUCAUUUUAAUAAAUAAUGUGAUUUAAUAGUUUACCUUAUUAGUAUAAACCUAACUCUAUUGAUCUUGAAAUGCCUAAAACAUGAUUUUUUUGUCUUUUCUUAAAGUUAUUACCAAUAAUAAAUCAUAUUGUUUUAAUUCUGAAAUAAGUAUUUGGAAACUAUUUCAAUUUUGAGACAGUGAAAUAUGUUAUUUUUGUGGUUGCAUAAUUUUAUUAUACAGAAUUAACUGACCAUAUUGGAUAGUUUCGAUCUAAUAUACUCCAGUAUGUCUUUUAUGCUAAGUAUUUAAAAUGAUAGAAAAUAUAUUUUGCUCACAUUGACAGAAUUAAAUUUGAGCAAUUUUCUCUUUCUCUUUGUUUAACUGAAGAUAAUUGGUGCAUCUACAAUAGAGGUCAUUGCUGUAUCUUUAACAUUUCAUCUAUAAUCCUUAUGAAAAGAUUGCAAUAUUUGCCUUCCUUAAUUAAGUAUUCAGUUUUGCAAUUUUUAAAUCACACCAAUAAUAAGCAUUUUUUAGGAAGAAUGGAGUAGAGAUUACAGAAUUAUUAGUUUUAUAAGCAAAGCAUAUGUGAGGUAAGUACUAUAUUAGGUCAUAUUUAUUUCCUUUUGACCUGAAAACUUAUUGAAUCUUCCUGAAGUUCUUAUUUUAGGUAAAAAUGGGACAAAACAAAACAAUGACAAGCAAAUUCUGUUCUAAAAAGCUUUAAAACUGAUAUCAAAAUUACUCAGCUAGUAACUUACAUGUUUGAGAAUACAAUAUUAUACACCCAUGUUCAUAGCAGCAUUUUUCAUAAUGCAAGAUGGUGGAAGUAGCCAUGUGUCCAUCCAUGGACGAAUGGAAAACAAAAUGUGUUAUAAAUAUAUAACAGAAUCUUUUUCAGACCCAAAAAGGGAGGAAAUUCUGAUACAUGCUACAACAUAGAUGAACUUUAUGUGCAUUAUGCUAAGUAAACUAAGACAGUCACAAAAAGACAUAUUGUAUAACUCCAGUUAUAGGGGGCACCUAGAGUUGUCCAACUCAUAGACAUAUUAAGUAAAAUGGUGACCAGGUGCUGAGGGAAGGGAGGAUUAGAGAGUUAUUACUUAAUGAGUAUAGAGCUUCAAUUUUUCAAGAUGAAAAGAGUUAGGAAGGUGAUGUUGAUGGUUGUACAAUAGUGUGAAUGUAUUUAAUACUACUUGACUGUACACCUAAAAAUUGUUCAAAUGGUAAGUUUUAUGUUAUAUAUGUAUUUUACCAAAAUUUAAAACAAACAAACAACUUCUCACAUAUGUUUAUACAAAUAAAGGGAUAACUCAGCCAAGCUAUUUAAUAACUUUGAUAAAUCUACACGGUUCUACGCAGAACUACUAUCUUUAGAGAUUAGAAGAAAAUAAAAAAAUAUCUCUCACAGUUUGCAAUCCACCUCGUCAUAGCCAAAAGCAAACUUCCUAAAGGGAAAAAAGUCUUUAUACAAUAAUUAAGGGUUUGUUUCAGUCAAGAAGAAGACAGAUCCACGCUUGUAACCUUAUGUGCUUUUCACAUUAUUUCAGAACAUUUUGUUAAAUGUAAAAUGCUGUAAUAUUUUAACAAAAAAAAAUCAAAGGAAGUUUUUUACAACAUUGUACACCUUAGAAAGUUCAUAAAUAUUGUAAUUUUCUUUAUUUCAUAUAAUAGUGACUACUCAUAUGGUUAUGAAUUUUCACUAGAACGUUUAGCAUAAGACAUUGUUGCAAACAUUUUCAAAAUAUAUCUUAGAAACUUGGGGGGAUGAUAAAAAUUUAAGAUGUUAAGGUGAAAGGGAAUUUAGGUAUUAUCUUUUUCAAAUAUGCUAUAGUUACAGGAGUGUUUGUCAACUAUAGAUGAAAUAUUGUAAGUCGGUGGAAAGUUUUAACCUUCCUUGGUAGUUGUCCAUUCUGUCUUUGGUCAAGUCCAUUUCCUAGAACAUUAUUUUUUUGUCCUAAAAUUUACCAACUAGUCAUUAGCUACAUAUCUAAAUUAACCAAAAGGGAUAUCAAAAAGGAGUGAGAAUACAUUUUAUAUCCCUUGUUUGCACAUAGGUGUUUUAUAAUUUCCCUCUUAUCCCUUUUGGUUAGUCAAUCCCGUCUAUGUGUUUUAGACAUUCCAAGACAAUUAUUGUGACUCAUUUUGGCUAUGCUUUUUCCCUUUUCAGUGUUUUUACAUUUGUCACAUCCUUGAUCCAAAAGAUUCACCCUCUCUUCCUAUCCCAGCUAACACUCUUCAAACUCUCUUCCACAACCUAUUAUUUAUUUUUAUCUUUACCUUUUCAUAAAUUAAUGUGUUACACCAUAAUCAUUCUUUAUGAAUACUUGUCUUGACCAUUUAAUUGAAGAUACCUUAGUUCAGGGACUUGUUAUAUUCACCUUUGCAGCCUCACUUCUAAGCAGAGUCAGCUGCCUAUUAGGUAAUCAAAGACCCCACUGAAUAAAUAAAUCGGGCUAGUUCUGCCCUCUGGAACUUCCAACUAUUACAUUUACUGAAUCUGAAAUAUCAGUUAUUAUUUUCUCCUUCCUUCUUUAUCUAUUUAGUGUUUAACAAAUACCUAUUGGGUAUCUGCUACAUAUUGAACAGAUAUACAGCAAAGACCCAGAAAAAAUAUGCCUGUCACAUGGAAAUUUUUGCAGUCAGUUAAGCAUAUCAUGUUCUCUUGAUUCUAAAGCACUGUUACGAAAUUUGAUGCACUUAAUAAACUUAAUAAUCACUUAUAUAUACAGGCAUAUCUCAUUUCAUUGUGCUUUGCUUUAUUGCACUUUGCAGAUAGUACAUUUCUUACAAAUUCAAGGUUUGUGGCAGCCCUGGUUCCAGCAAGGUAUCAGCACCGUUUUUCCAGCAGCAUGAACUCACUUUAUGUGUUUGUGGCAUAUUUUUCUAGUUCUCACAACACUUCUAACAUUUAAAUUAUUAUUAUAUAUGUUAUGAUUAUUUGGACUAGUGAUCCAUGACGUUACUAUUGCAAUUGUUUUUGUUUUUGGGGUACCACAAACCACAGCCAUAUAAAAUGAUGAACUUAAUCAAUAAAUGUUGUGUGUGUUCUGACUGCUCUACCAAUUGGCCAUUCCUCUAGCUCGCUCUCUCUCCUUAGGCCUCCUUAUUCCCUGAGACACAACAAUAACAAUUCAUAAUUCUCUAAGUGUUCAAGUGAAAAGAAGACUCACACAUCUCACAAAUCAAAUCAAAAGCUAGAAAUGAUUGAAGAUGAAGAUAUAUUGAAAGCCAAGAGAGUCUGAAAGCUAGGCCUUUCACAUAAGUGAGCCAAGUUGUAAAUACAAAGGAAAAGUUCUUGGAGGAAAUUAAAAUUGUUACUCCAGUGGAAAUACAAAUGAUAAUAAAUUAAAUCAGUCUUAAUGCUGAUAUAAUUUUUUUUUGUGGUCUGAACAGAAUAUCAAAUGAGCUACAACAUUUCCUGAAGCCAAAACCUAAUGUAGAACAAAGCCCUAAAUUUUCUCAAUUCUUUGAAGACUGACGGAGGUGAGGAAGCUGCAGAAAAAAAUUUUGAAGCUAGCAGAGGUUGGUUCACAAGGUUUUGGGAAAGAAGCCAUCUUAAUGACAUAAAAAUGUAACAUGAAGCAGCAAGGGUUGAUGUAGCAGCUGCAGGAAGCUAUCUAGAAAAUCCAGCUAAUGUAUGAAGGCAGCUACACUAAACACUGGAUUUUCAGUGUGGAUGAAACAAGUUUAUAUUGGAAGAAGAUGCCAUUUGGAUAGUCAUACUGUAUUAGUCCAUUCUCAUGCUGCUAUAAAGAAAUACCCAAGUCUGGGUAAUUUAUGAAGGAAAGAGUUUUAAUUGACUCACAGUUGUGCAUAGCUCGGGAAGCCUCAGGAAACUUACAAUCAUGACAGAAGACAAAGGGGAAGCAAGGCACCUUUUUCACAAGGUGGCAGGAAGAAGAAGUGCAGAGUGAGGGGGGAAAAAGCCCCUUAUAAAACCAUAAACUCUUCUGAGAACUCACUCACUAUCAUAAGAACAGCAUGGGGAAUCACACCCAUGAUCUAAUCACCUCCCACGAGGUCCUUCCCUCAACACGUGGGGAUUACAAUUCAGAUUAAAAUUUAAGAUGAGGUUUGGGUGGGGACACAGAGCCAGACCAUAUCACAUACCUAGAGAGGAAAAGUCAUGCCUGGCUUCAAAGCUUCAAAGGCAGUCUGACUCUAUUGUUAAAGACUAAUGCAGCUGGUUGGUGAUUUUAAGUUGAAGCCAAUGCUCGUUUCCCAUUCCAAGAAUCCUAGGGCCCUUAAGAAUUAUGCUAAAUGUACUUUGCCUGUGCUCUAUAAAUAAAACAACAAAUCCUGGAUGACAUCAUAUCUGUUUACAGCAUGAGUUACUGAAUAUUUUAUACCCACUAUUAAGACCUACUUCUCAGAACAAAAUAUUCUUUGCAAAAUAUUACUGCUCAUUAAAACAAUGCACCUGUCACCCAAGAGCUCUGAUGGAAAUGUACAAGAUUAAUGUUUUCAUGCCUGCUAAAACAAUAUCCAUUCUGCAGCCCCUAGAUCAAGGAUUAAUUUUGACUUUCAAGUCUUAUGAUUUUCAGAAAUAUAUUUUGUAAGGCUAUAGCUUCCAUAGACAAUGAUUCUUCUGAUGUAUCUGGGUAAAGUAAAUUGAAAAAAACUCUGUAAUAGAGUCAUCAUUCUAGAUACCAUUCAGAAUAUUCGUGAUUUAUGGGAGGAGGCUAAAAUAUCAACAUUAAUAGGAGUUUAUAAGAAGUUGAUUUCAAACCCCAUGGAUGAUUUUGAGGAAUUAAAAACUUCAGUAGAGGAACUAACUGCAGAUAUGAUGGAAAUAGCAAGAGAAGUAGAAGUGGAGCCUGAAGAUGAAAAUUGUUGCAAUCUCAUGAUAAACUUUAAUGAAUGAGAAGUUGCCUUACACAUGAGCAAAAAAAAAAAAAAGCAAUGUAUUAAGCAAUGUAUUGAGUUGGAACUUACUCCUGGUGAAGAUACUUGUAAUCUUCACCAGGAACCUGGUGAACGUUCUUGUAAUGACAACAAAGGACUUAGAAUACUAUAUAUUAGUUGAUUAAACAGCAGCAGGGUUUGAGAGGAUUGGCUAUAAUUUCAAAAGAAUUUCUACUAUAGGUAAAGUGCUAUCAAACAACAUUGAAUGCAAUAGAGAAAUUUUUCUUGAAAGGAAGAGUCAAAGAGGCAAACCUCAUCAUCUUGUUUUGAGAAAUUGCCACUGCCAUCUCAACCUUCAACAACCACUACCCUCAUCAGUCAGCAGACAUCAGUAUGAAGUCAAGAGCCUCCACCAGCAAAAAAUGUAUAACUCGCUGAAGGCUCAGAUGAGAGUUAUUUUAAAUUAAGUUAUGUACAUUGCUUUUUUAGACAUAAUGUUAUUGCACACUAUUGAUGGUAAGGUUAACUAACUGCCAUUAUAACUUAAAGAAAAUUUGAGGUUAAUUUUAUUCUGAGUGAAGUUUGGGGACUAACAGUCUUGGGAACAUAGACCCAGUGCAAACCAAGAGAGUACCCACAGUGGACUACACAAGACACAGUAUUUAUAGGUUAUAUUACAUAGAAGAUAGGAGAAGGGGGUAGUGAAACAAAGGUGAUAUUCUUACAGUUUUGAUUGGUGCUCAGUGAUGCAAGUAUAUAAGAUAAGCAAAUAUGUGGUGAAUGUAUACAGGGUAAACAAACAUGCAGGUGUCUUAGGGUCUGGAGAUGGAUGAUUGAUUCUAUCCUGACUGUGCUUGUCUGAUAGGCAAGGUUGUAAUCAGUACAUGCCAGUGAAAUAUUUGACAGACUCCAGCCAUACAGGUGAGAGUUCAGCUUUAGUUCAUAGGCCUCGUUUCUAUUACCCAUAUGUCCAAACUGCAACCAUCUCAGGUCACUUUACACAUUUUUCUUUCAGAUUUUCUGUUUCCUGACAACACUAUAUAGACAAUAGUAUAGCGUAAACACAGCUUUUAUAUAAACUGGGAAAUGAAAAAAAUUCAUGUUACUUGCUUUAUUGCAAUAUUUGCUUACUGUGGUUUUCUGGAACCAAACUUGCAAUAUCUUUGAGGUUUCUCUGUAAAUUGUUCAAAAAAAUACAUCUUUUUUCCAAACACUAAAGUGAAAAAAUAUAACUUUCUUUUAUAUUUGGGGAAGUGUAUAUUUAUAUAUAUCAUAGUAAAAAUAAUCAACAUGAUUGAUAUAAGAAAAGUAUUUGAACAAGUUCAUAAAGUUAUUUUUACAUGUAAAUUGAAAGAGAAAUGGUUAAUAAAGAUAAAUCACAUGUCAUUUAACUUAUAUGUACCAAAUUACCCAACUAAAAAUUCAUGUUUACAUUAAAUAUAUCACUAAGUAUGAAUAAAAAUGAAAGUAUACUAGAAAGUGUCCUUGCUACUUUCUCAUCUGUUGGUAUAGGUCAGCUAACAUCAGAAUGAUAAACAUAUAUGACAAUUUGGAGUCUAGGCAUGGAGAUAUAAAACAGAAGAGGUUAUUAUUAUGCUAGGCUAUAAUUAUUGUAGUAAUUGUUUUUGCUAGAAGCGUUUUUUCUCAUCAUGAUGGUGUUUUUGACAAAGCACCAGUAACAAUGGUCCAAUUAGUUAUACAAAGUGUGAAAAUGCAUUUGUGUGGGGAAAUGUGAUAUAGAAAUUGCAUAGAUUGCUCAGGAAGAUAUUAACUGAAUUUUGAGAUGUAAUCAUCUGGUGCUCAAAGUGUUCAGUGAAGUUGUCUUACAUGCUCUGAAGCAGAGCUAUCACAGAACACUCCAACUAUUACUUUCAAUUUAGACCAUCAGCUUCGGUCCAUUUACUGAGUGGUUAAAUCAGAGCAAUUGAUUCUUCUGAAUCUCUGCCAGUUAUAUCCAAUAUAGUUCAUCCAGGCCAUGUGCAUUCAGCUGAGUGUUAUUUUUGGACUUCCAUAAGAACUGUUCUAUCAUCAACUGAACAGACAUAGCUUCAGAAAGAGGUUCAUCAUGUGAAGAGCGGAGAUUGCACACCCAGGUCACAAGUGACCUUUCAUUAAAUUACAGACAAAAUCCUAUUCUAAAAAAGGCCAUUGAGGUAUGUGACACCUCAUAACAAGGUUAUUUUCCAUUCCUGUAUAACAUCCCACAGAAGCAUUAUUUGUGGAUGUGAAUAAUGUAUUUUCAGUAAUAAACGUUUCACAAGUCCCUAUCCAUUUAUAACUCACCUAUUUAAUAAUUAUCUCAUUUUCUCUAUAUUGCACAAGGGUGCCACAAAAUUAAUUAUAAUCUUUGUAUCUUGUUUAAUUAUGAUGAUAACCCAUGGUAUGUUUUAUGAAAGGGUUAAAAGGGGGUUACAUAUAUAAAAUAUGAUCUCUAAGAAAAUUUAGAUUGUAUGUAUCAUAGUAAUUAUUUUUUUGUUUAGAACUAGAUAGUAUUGGCUACAAAAAAAGUCAUUCUUCAAAAAGUACAAAUAAGUUAUUAUUUAAAUUUUCAUUCUAAUGACAGUUUAGUCAGUUGCACACACACACACGUAACAUAUAUGCAUUUACUGUAUUUAUCUAUAUGUAAAUAUAUUUUUUAAAGAGAUGAAAAAUAGUAAACACUAAAGAAACAUUUAUUGCUUACUAACUGUUAGUCAUUGGACUUAAUAUUUUAUUUUUUUUUAAUAUUUUAAUGCUUUAUUAGUAAAAUUUUGCAUAUAUUCAAGAGUGUGGAAAACAUAUAGAUAUAGAUAUACAUCUUAAUUAAUAAUUUAGUGAAUGACUAUAUAAAAACCCUCAACUACUUAGAUUUUGAAUCCCCUGUCUUGUACUGCAAUACUACUGUCAGGAGACAAUGCUUCAUAGUUAAUGUUUCUGAAACGUGAGGACUUUGUGAAGAAAGAUUAUACAAAGUCAUAUUAACCUGGUCUAGCAAAAAUACAAUAUCUGCAUCAUAACAACAGUGGGGCUACUUAUUAGUAAUUUUGUAAUAGUCUACUGUUAAUCCUGCUGUUUUUUAGAAAUUUGACUAGUAAAUUAAGUGGGGUCAUGAACCACUAUUGGAUUUUUAAAUCUUUAAUACUGACAUGAUUUCCUGCCACAACCCUGGGAUUAGAGAAUUAAAGAUGGUGCUACCCUUCUCACCAGCUCAUCACACACCUUUUGGUAAACAGAAUGUUCUCUGGGCCCUACCAUGAAAUAAAGUUCAUUGGCAGGAUUUCUGGCCUGACUUAGUAGCUCUAUGCCAUCAUUCCCCUUUUUAGUUUUUAGAAUUUUGCUGAACGUUAACAAAGAAAAAAUAAUCUUAUGAAUUAAAAGGGGGUUUUAUUAUAGAUCCUGCAACUAAUAAUAGAAUUAAUAGAAUAGCAACAAUAUAUAUGUGCAACUUUAUGUCAGUUAUUUUUAAAGCCUACAUGAAUGGAACACUUGUUGAAACAUAAUUUAUCAAUCCUGACAUAAGACUAUCUGAAUAGUUUUUAUCGGCAAAUAACAUAUUUCUGUUUUAAAUUCAGAUUAUCCAACAAAGAAAAUUCCAGGAAGAAACGGGCUAACUGGUAAUUUUUCAAAAUAUUUAGGAAUGAAAUGAUGAGUCUUACAGAUUCUUUCAGAAUGCAGAGAAAGAGGGUACACUUUUUUAUUCAUUGUAUGAGGUAAAGUUAAGCUUGAUACUAACAUCUACAAAGGAUAGUACAAGAAAGACAAGUACAGGCCAAUCGCUAUAAUGAAAAUAGAUAUAAACAUUCUAUACAAAAUAGCAGAUAAGAUCUGGUUACAUACAAAUCAAAUAAUGUGAUUUAUUUUGUAAGGCAAAAUUUUCUAUUGAAUAUCACUAUAACUAGUCACAUUAACAAGAAAAUGGAAUAAAAAGACCAUCAUCAUCUUGUGGGAUAAAUUUUUUAAUUUUGAUAAAAUAAUUGAAUAUUUUAUCAAAUACCAUAACUAGCUAUGGAUAACAAAUGUCAGCAAAACAUAAGUAAAAGCUAUUGCUUGUGUAAGAAUAUCUACCAAAAUUAAACAACUAUUAUCUCAUUCAAUAGUGAAUAUUGAAUGCUUUCUUUGUGAUAUCAUUAUGAAGAAAAGCACAACCACUAUCUCAACUUGUAUAAAUAUUAUAUAAGUUCCUAGCUGGUAUAAUAGAAAAAAAUAGGUUAAAGUUUUUGAAGAAAAAAAAAAAUAAACUGUCUCCUAGUCUCAGAUGAAAUUAAUGUGUGAAUAAAAAAAUGAAAAAAAAAAAACAAACUGGUCAUUUAAUAAAUGCAUGUAGUGAGUUCUCUGUAUAAAGCUUAAUAAAGUCCAGCUAUAAUGGUGGAAACCAAGGAACUGGCUGGGAUGAUUUAAAUGUCCUUUAUUUUUAGGGCUUAGAUUACAUGAGGAUAUGCAUUUGCCAAAACCCAUCAAACUAGACACUUACAUCUAUAUUUUAUUAUUUUCACAUUACUUGCAAAUAAAAACAAUUUGGAAAAAGUGAUAAAACAACUAAAUGUAGCAUGUUAAUUUUAAUUCUACUUCUAAAAACUGCUAAUUGAUAGCAUUAUUUUAAUGUAAGUAAUAAGGGUAUAGCUUUCAUUAUACUAUUUAUACAACAUUUCUUUACGUUUUUCUUUUACUAUUAACUAAUAAAUUUUUCACUUUAAAAUAAAGUUACCUUAUGUGAUUUUCAUAUUGUAGCAUAAAGCAUCUAUGAAAGAAAAGAGACCCCUUUUCUGCAUAGAUGACCAGAAAGAAAAAGAUAAAAUGUCCCCAGUCCCAACAGCAGUCUUCUCAUAAAGUCACUCCUGGCCACAAAACAGAAGAUUCUAAUGACUCCUAGAACAUUUCCCUCCAUCAUUAUGUGUGAAUUCCACAGGGCACCAGAAUGUCCAUUUCUACUCCAUUACCAUCUUUGCACUGCUUUUCCCUAUUUACCAUCUUAGUGAAGCAGGAGGUGUAUAAUCAAGUCUUAAGCCAUACCCUGGCAGUGUAAACGGAAACCCAGCUGCAGCAACUCCAGUCUGUGUCCAAGGCUCAGAUUUGAGCCAAUUCCUAUUCCUAUUCGUAUUCCUUUCUCAAUUCCUAUUUUUCAAAGGAAAGCCAGGUAUUCCUUGCUCAAGGAGGGUUUGAGAUGGAGUUUUAAAAUCUCUCAAUGCAUUGUUUACUGUUAUAUUUCAAAAAGUAUAAUUAUCUUUGUGAAAUAUUUUUACGUGAAAAUGAAGAUUAUUAAUUUGAUCAAGCACUUUAUUAUUAUGCCUUCUGUUAAGUAAUUACUGAAGAAAAAAAUAGUAAUUAUACCUAAAGGAAUUAUAUUGGUUAGUAUUUAUGGAAUAUUACCUAUGCACCAUGUAAUGGGCCAAACUCUAUUAACUCAACUCAUGGAUGAAGUAAUUGAGGUACAGAAAGUCACAGAGAAAGUAAAUUUUGGGACUGGAGCCAAUUCAGAGCCUUCUGACACUGAAACCAGAUCUUCUAAGUGUAAUAGUCUAAGUUCUUUCUAGUUUAAUAUAUGUUAUCAUAUUAAGAAAGUAUUCAUUAAUUUUUAUCUUAUUAGGGAAUGGGUAUUAAAUUUUGUUAAAGGAAGGUCUUUUUAGCAGUUAUGGGGUGAUCAUAUUAUUUUUCUCUUUUUAUAUCAAUUAAUAUGGUGAAUUACAUUAAUGGAUUUUUAAAUGAGAGUUUUAAAGAGAGAGAGAAUUAAUGUAAGGAUCUUUUAACUGAACUUCCCAAUAAAUGUGAAAGAAGUUAUAACACAGAAAACAGCCAUUUUAAAUUCUCAAUGAAAUAAUUAACUUUGACAAGGAUCCUCAGUCCUUGUCAAAAUAAUUGUGGGGAAAGUUUGUGGGGAAAGGAGGUCUAGAGGUCCAGAGAUUCAUACCAACCAUUACCUGUCCACCCCCCACCUACCCCUAUGUUUUCAUUUUAGACCAGUGCUUGUUAAUCCUCCCUGAACAGCUGAAGAGCAUUUAUUUUAUUUAUUUGUUUUUUCCACCUUUAUUUUAGUUUCACGGUGUACGUGUGCAGGUUUGUUACAUGGACAAAUUACAUGUUGUUGAGGCUUGCAUCACCCAAGUAGUAACUAAUGCUUCUUAUUAAUCAAGGGAAAGGCGUACCUUGGUAAUGGAGUGUUUUCACAGAAACCACCUGAAUCAAGUAAUUCAUUUUGGGAAAAUGACAAUAUUUACUGAUUUAACCAUGGAAUGGAUAUUAAAAACACAAGUUCUACAGCAUUCUUGCAAAAACAAAACAAAACACUGAGUUGUAUCAAAACAAUUAUUAGAAAAUACUAAUAGUGGAAGAUACUAGUAAACAACUCACCCAGAUUACUCAAAUAUGUCAAUAAUCUAAAACAUAAACACAGACAGGAAAAUGCUCUGAUUAAGGAGACUAAAGAAGCGUAAAACCUCAGUACCAUAUAUGAUUUUUAAUUGGUCUCUAGAUUUGAAAAAAAGCUAUGAAGGACAUCUUGGGUACAAUUAGGAAAACUUGAUUAUGUACUUAUACAUUAGGUAAUAUUAUAAUACCAUAUCAGUAAUAAAUAUUUGGGAUAUAGUAAUGGUAUAUUACCACUGUUCUUAGGAGAUGCCUGCUGAAGUAUUUGGGGACAAGGAGUCUUGAUGACUGCAACUUUAAUUUUAAAACAUGCAAAGAAAGAGAGAGAGAGAGAGAGAGUAUGUACCAGAAUAUAUUGUAUAAUUCUUUCAAAUUUUCUGUAUCUUUAAACUUUUUUACAAAUUGAAAUUAAAAACCUAUAUAAAGCACUUCAUUACAUCCCACUAUUUAAUAGUAAAUGUGCUUCAGACACUUUGUUCAGGUUAACACGAAAAGCACAAGCAGUGUCAGGAUGCAGUCAAUACAGAACAAUAACAACAAGAAAACCACAAUCAUUGAAUGUCUUCCUUUUAAGCUGUCGUGAUAUUUUAUAAAACUGUGUGUAUAGAUCCGUGUUUAAAAUUAUCCUCACAUUUUGCUUUCCCUUGUUUCUUCCUCCUUCAUUAUUUGUCUUAAGUAGUUUUUUCACCUUGGUGAAAUAGUUUUUUCCCCCCAUCAAUUCUGUUAUAUUCAUGUAAAUUAAAAUUCAGUUUUUUUUUCCUUUUUUUCAGAAAAACUAUAGUAACUUGAUUUAUAGGUACAUGUAAAUAUGUUUUAAAAUUCACACUUGCAGAAAACAUUUUCAGUCUUUCAUUGACAUCAAUAAGGCUAUAAGAAUGGUAUACUUUAAGUUAUCUUUACUUCAGCUGAACAUUAGCUUUCCAUCACACUUUAAUAGUGUUCAUGGUGGGGGGUGUUUAGUUAGAAGUCAGGCCAGAGAAAAAAGCCUCAAAAAACUGUGUUUAUGUAAACUUAUUUUAUACAUUACUAUAUUCAGAGAAUGCAUACUAAUGUGUAGGUAUGUACAAAUAAAUGCAUGCCACAGAGUAUACCUUUCAUGGGAAUAAAAUAAAGUUUGUUUUUCUAGAUCUAUAUUUGUCAUCUUGCACUUUUAUAUGGAAAGUGAAUGCUCUAAUGUUACCGGUAGGAAGCCGGCUGAUUGUUUGAGCUUCCACAUCUUAGGCAAUAGUCCCGUACAGAGCACUUCUAAAAUCAGUAAGUUAUGCAAAAAUUGACUAAAAAUGGAGUAAAGACUUAAAUGUAAGACAUGAAACUGUGAAACUACUAGGAGAAAACAUACGGGAAAUUCUUCUUGACAUUGGCCAAUCGGUUUAUGAAUAGAUGCUGAACAUCAUCAGGGAAAUGCAAAUCAAAACCACAAUAAGAUGUCAUUUUAUUCCAGUUAGAAUGCCUAUUAAAAUGACAAAAGAUAACAAGUGUUGCAGUGAUGUGGAGAGCCCUUACACAUUGUUAGUGGAAUGCCAAGUAGUACAGCUACUAUGGAAACAGUGUGGAGGUUCCACAAAAACUUAAAAAUAGAAUACUAUAUAAUCCAGCAAUCCUACUACUGGGUAUAUAUUCAAAGAAAAUGAAAUCAGUGUGCUGAAGAGAUAUCUAGACUCCCAUAUUUAUUACAGCAUUAUUCCCUCAAACCAAGAUAUGACAUCAACCUAAGUAUUCAGCAACAAAUACAUAAAGAAAAUGUGGUAUAUAUACACAAUAGAAUGCUAUUUCUCCAUUAAAAAAGAAUGAAAUCCUGUCAUUUGUGACACAAUGGAUGAAUCUAGAGAACAUUAUGUUAAGUGAAAUAAGCCGGACAGACAAAUACCUCAUCAUCUCCCUCCUAUGUAAAAUCUUAAAAGCUGAUUUCAUAGAAGUAUAGAAUAGAAAGGUGCUUAGCAGAGGCUGGAAGGAAAAGGGGAAAGGAGGGCAGGAAGAGGUUGGUCAAUGGUUAAAAGUUACAGUUAGAUAGGAGGAACAAGCUCUAAUGUUCUAUUGGACAGUAGGGUGACUUCUUUGUUAAUAAUAGUGUAUUGCAUAUUUCAAAAUAGCUAGAAAAAAGGACUUUGAAUGUUCUCACUACAAAGAAAUGUUAAAUGGUUGAGCUGAUGGAUUUGCUAACCACCAUGAUUUGAUGAUUAUACAAUGUAUACAUGUAUCAACAUGGCACAUGUUGCACAGAUAUUAUGUGUCAAUUAAAAAUAAGAUAAACUUAAGAAAAUUAAUGAGUUAUUUGAUAUUUUGUGUUCAAAGGUGUUACUUGCAAUCUAGAUAAAUAGAAACUGAUUAGCUAUAGAAAAAUAUUUUACAUUAUUGUAUACAAAUCUAUCUAGAUAUGUGUCAGAAGAAUUGAAUAUUUACAAAAAAUGACAUAUAGGAAGCACUGAAUUAUCAUAGAAUGAGAGCUAUCUAGACUUGCACAUCAUUUUCUUUUUUAAACUUUUAUUUUACAUUCGGGGUACACGUGCAGGUUUUUUUAUAUAUGUAAUUUGAGUGUUGUGGGGGUUUGGUGUAUAUAUCAUUUUGUCACCCAGGUAAUAAGCAUUACACCUGAUAGGUAGUUUCUCUAUCUUCACCCUUCUCCCAGCCUCCACCCUUAAGUAGGCCCCAGUGACUAUUGUUCCCUUCUCUUUGUGUCCACAUGUAUUCAAAGUUUAACUCCCACUCAUAAGUGAGAAUAUGCAGUAUUCGGUUUUCCGUUCCUGUUUUAGUUGGCUUAAGAUAAUGGCUUCCAGCUCUAUCCAUGUUGCUACAAAGAACAUGAUCUCAUUCUUUUUCAUAGCUGCAUAGUAUUCUAUUAUGUAUAUGUACCACAUUUUUUAAUUCAGUCUACUGUUGAUGGGCAUGAAGAUUGAUUCCACGUCUUCACUAUUGUGAUUAGUGCUGCAAUGAACGUACACAUGCAUGUGUCUUUAUGGUAGAACAGUUUAUUUUCCUUUGGGUAUACACCUAAUAAUGGGAUUGUUGAGAUGAACGGUAAUUCUAUUUUAAGUUCUUUGAAAAAUCACCAAACUCCUUUCCACAGUGGCUGAACUAAUUUACAUUCCCAUCAGCAGUGUAUAAGCAUUCUUUUUUCUCCACAAUACAGAAUCUGUUAUUUUUCUGACAUUUAGUAGUGGCCAUUCUGAAUGGUGUGAGAAGGUAUCUCAUUGUGGUAUUGAUUGCAUUUCUCUAAUGAUUAGUAUGUUGAGCAUUUUUUCAUAUGCUUGUUAGCUGCAUGUAUGUUUUCUUUUGAAAAUGUCUCUUCAUGUCCUUUGUCCACUUUUUAAUGAGGUUGUUUGGUAUUUUCUUGUAAAUUUGUUUAAGUUCCUUAUAGAUGCUAGAUAUUACACCUUUGUCAGAUGCAUGGUUUGCAAAUAUUUUUCCCAUUCCGUAGGUUUUCUGUUUACUCAGUCAAUAGCUUCUUUUGGUGUAUGGAAGCUCUCAAGUUUAAUUGGGUCGCAUUUUUCAAUUCCUGUUUUUGAUGUAAUGGCUUUUGGCAUCUUCAUCAUGAAAUCAUUGCCAGGUCCUACGGCCAAAACAGUAUUUCCCAGGUUAUCUUCCAGAGUUUUACUGUAGUCUUGUAGUAUAGUUUGAAGUCACGUCAUGUGAUGAUGCCUCCAGCUUUGUUUUUUGUGCUUAGUGCAUCAGUUUUCUUUGGCUACUCAACAAAUGCUAGAGACUUAAAAGUUUAAAAAAUACAAGUUUAUUGUCACAGUUUCCAAUAAUAAGGAGCCCAGAUAUGGGUUAGCUUAGUCCUUCCCUCCAGGCCUCACCAGGCUGAAAUUGAUGUGUCAGGCUGGGGUGUGAUUUCAUUUUAGGCCCAGGGUUCUUUUCCAGGCUCCUGUGGCUCUUGACAGAUUUACUUCCUCACAUGUAACUGUGGAAUCCCUAGAGGGCGUGUCUUCAUAAUCAGCCGCAAACUGACUUCAGGUGGGUGUCCGUACUCUUUAAAGACUUACCUGAUUAUGUCAGACUCACCUGGAUAAUGUCCAUUUUGAUAAAAUUAAAGUCAACUGUUUAGUAACUUGAGUAGAGGAAUGAUAUUCCAUUAUAUUUACAGGUUCUUUCUGCACUCAAAGGGAGGAUACUAUACAGAGAAUACGCACCGGGAAUAAAAAUUUCACAGGACCAGUUAGAAAUUUUGCCUAUCCCAACAGUUAUUGAAAAAACUGUAGCUCAAAUAGUUACCCUGACACUAGUAUUUGGUCUUGGAAAACUCACCUAAGUAGUUCCUUAGAUUGUGUGUUUCAAUACACUUAGUUCUAACAUGGAAAUAUGAAGAUCAGCUCCAAAUAUUUUUUUCCCAUGAAAACCAUAUGAUAUGUUUAAAUGCUCCAGGACAUACUGUGUAUUCUUAGAAUGGACCAUAUCUAAAUGAAAUAGAGACUUGGUCUCUAUCAGAAUCCAUACUAAUGUGUAGGUAUGUACAAUAUCAGUAAUAAAUAUUUGGGAAUAGUAAUGGAUUUACAUGGAGUUAACAAUCUAGAAAAACAGUUUUUUAGUUACAAAGAUAUUUAGAAAAUAUAACUUUCCAAUGUCAUUCUUAAUAAUAUUAAGAGUUCCAUGCUUAUAAAUAUUGUUCUGUAUUAUCAUCAACUGACAUAGUUUACAUACGUGUCUCUGUUCAAAUCUCAUGCUGAAAUGUAAUCCCCAGUGUCGGAGGUGGGGUCUAGCGGGAGGUGAUUGGAUCAUGGGGGUGGUUUCUCAUGAAUGGGCUAGCACCAUCCCCUGGGUGACGUCCUCGUGAUAGUGAGUCCUUGAGAGAUCUGGUUGUUUAAAAGUAUGUGGCACCUCCCUGCUUGCUGUCUUGCUGCUGCUUUUACCGUGUGAUAUGAAAGCUCCGGUUUGGCCUCCCAUCAUGAAUGUAAGCUUCCAGAGGCCUCUCAGAAGCAGAUGUCACUAUGCUUCCUGUGUAGCUUGCAGAACCAUGGCUGAAGGAAAUAAUGUAUACAGUGGUCCAUUUCCAAGACAAAGUGCCUUAAAUCGGCUUAGGUCAGCAAACUGCAAAAGAAAUAGAAUGUACUAGGCCCUUGCGUGGAUAGCCAAUGCCUGCUUGUUGGACUCACUGCCCCCCACCCCACCUUUAGUUGGCUCACCUGAACCAAAAAAGUCGUCUAAGAUAAAAGUUUACUAGCCCGCAAAAUAGCUUGUUUUGUCCAUUCUUAUCAGCCUGCCCAGGUACUUAGGUCAUAAGUCAAAUAUAUAAAAAGCCCCUGAGCUAACUAGGAUUGCAAUGCAUUGUGGGCUGCAACAAAAUGCAGCAAAACAACCCUAAAAAGAACACCUAAAGCCCCUACCCAACAACCAAUAGGUGAUGUCCGGGAAGACUGUGACCCCAUAGUACUCAGGCUAUGAGGAACCUGGAAAGGGACUUGCACACUAGGGGAUAAAAUGCUUGUUAAAAACUGUGCUGGGUUCUUUGUAGAUUCUGGAUAUUAGCCCUUUGUCAGAUGGAUAGAUGGCAAAAAUUUUCUGCCAUUCCAUAGGUUGCCUGUUCACUCUGAUGGUAGUUUCUUUUGCUGUGCAGAAGCUCUUUAGUUUAAUCAGAUUCCAUUUGUCUAUUUUGGCUUUUGUUGUCAUUGCUUUUGGUGUCUUAGUCAUGAAGUAAUUGCCCAUGCCUAUGUCCUGAAUGGAAUUGCCUAGGUUUUAUUCUAGGGUUUUUAUGGUUUUAGGUCUUACAUUUAAGUCUUUAAUCCAUCUUGAGUUAAUUUUUAUAUAAGGUGUAAGGAAAGGGUCCAGUUUCAGCUUUCUGCAUAUGGCUAGCCAGUUUUUCCAACACUAUUUAUUAAAUAGGGAAUCCUUUCCCCAUUGCUUGUUUUUGUCAGGUUUGUCAGAGAUCAGAUGGUUGUAGAUAUGUGUCAUUAUUUCUGAGGCCUCUGUUCUGUUCCAUUGGUCUAUAUAUCUGUUUUGGUACCAGUACCAUGCCGUUUUUGUUACUGUGGCCUUGUAGUACAUUUGAAGUCUGGUAACAUGAUGUCUCUGGCUUUGUUCUUUUUGCUUAGGAUUGUCUUGGCUAUGUGGGCUCUUUUUUGGUUCCAUAUGAAAUUUAAAGUAGUUUUUUUCCAAUUCUUUUGAAGAAAGUCAGGGGUAGCUUGAUCGGGAUCAUUGAAUCUAUAAAUUACUUUGGGCAGUAUGGCCAUUUUGAUGAUAUUGAUUCUUCCUAUCUAUGUACAUGGAAUGUUUUCCGAUUUGUUUGUGUCCUCUCUUAUUUCCUUGAGCAGUGGUUUGUAGCUCUCCUUGAAGAGGUCCUUUACAUCCCUUGUAAGUUGUAUUCCUAGGUAUUUUAUUCUCUUUGUAGCAAUUGUGAAUGAAAAACAACCCCAUCAAAAAGUAGGUGAAGGAUAUGAACAGGCGCUUCUCAAAAGAAGACAUUUAUGCAGCCAACAAACAUAUAAAAGAAACCUCAUCAUCACUGGUCAUUAGAGCAAUGCAAAUCAAAACCACAAUGAGAUACCAUCUCACGCCAAUUAGAAUGGUGAUCAUCAAAAUGUCAGGAAAAAACAGAUGCUGCAGAGGAUGUGAAGAAAUAGGAACACUGUUGGUGGCAGUGUAAAUUAGUUAAACCAUUGUGGAAGACAGUGUGGUGAUUCCUCAAAUAUCUAGAACUAAAAAUACCAUGGACCCAGCAAUCUCAUUACUGGGUAUGUACCCAAAGGAUUAUAAAUCAUUCUACUAUAAAGACACAUGCACACGUAUGUUUAUUGUGGCACUGUUCACAAUAGCAAAGACUUGGAGCCAACCCAAAUGCCCAUCAGUGAUAGACUGGAUAAAGAAAAUGUGGCAAAUAUACACCAUGGGCUAUAUGCAGCCAUAAAAAAGGAUGAGUUCAUGUCCUUUGUAGGGACAUGGAUGAUGCCGGAAACCAUCAUUCUCAGCAAACUAACACAAGAACAGGAAACCAACCACCACAUGUUCUCACUCAUAAGUGGGAGUUGAGCCAUGAGGACACGUGGACACAGGGAGGGGAACAUCGGGGCUUGUUGGGGGGUGAGGGGGAGAGAUAGCAUUAGAAGAAAUAUCUAAUGUAGAUGGCAGGUUGAUGGGUGCAGCAAACCACCAUGGCACAUGUAUACCUAUGUAAUAACCCUGCACAUUCUGCACAUGUACCCCAAAACUUAAAGUAUAACAAAAAAAAUUAAAAUAAAAAAAAAAACCGGUACUGGGUGUUCCUGCUCAUCAGACCCCUAACCUUGCAAGACCAUCAUUAAAAGUCUCACUUUUGCUAUUUUCCAGGUCUCUGAGUCCAUUCUUUGGGUUUGGACAAGUGCGUUUGUUUCUCACAUGGGCCAGUUGAACCUCUUCUUUAUAAAUUAUCCAGUCUCAAGUAUUUCUUGAUAGCAAUGAUUUGUGGCUCUUCACGAAGAUAAAUAUUUAUCACCAAACAAUGUAAACUUCCCACAUGACAACGAGCAACUACCAUCUUGUCUUCAGGAUAUUUUUGUAGAUUUGAAAGGCAGUAGAAGCCGGGGACAGGGGCUCACGCCUGUAAUCCCAGCACUUUGGGAGGCUCUGGCGGUGGAUUACUUGAGGCCAGGAGGUCAAGACCAGCCUGGCCAACAUGGCAAAACCCCAACUCUGCUAAAAAAUACAAAAAUUAGCCCAGGGUGGUGAUUCGUGCCUGUAGUCCCAGACACUGGAGAGGCUGAGACAGGAGAAUCGUUUGAACCUGGGAUGCGGAGACUGCAGUGAGCCAGGUCCAAAAAAAAAAAAAAAAAAAAAAAAGAAAAAAGAUCAUAGAUAUUAAUUAGUUCAGCAGGCUGAUGUUAAAAAGUAAAACUAUGGCUAAGACAACUAAAAUGACAAGAUCAGAUAUACAUAGCCAGUUUAUCACUGAGAACACUUUUGAGAUAAUAGUGGAAAAUAUAUAUUUAUUUAGUACGUGCAUACAAUCCUUAUUAGCAUGCCCAUAAGAACAUGAGUAAAUAUGCUUGUAAAUAAGGCAUCAAAUUAGGGCCAACAUUUAAAAUAUAAAAUUGUUUUUAACAUUCUCCUUAAUAAGGAGAGAAAGUACACAUUCCAAAUGUGUCUUAGAAAUAAUAUUAUUCUAAAAACAUUCAUUGUUAUCAUGUACCAUUGCUUUAAGAGGUUUGUAAGAUCCAUUUCAGUUAUGACAUUAAAAUAGAACAGAUAAUUACAAAAAAUCCGAAUUGACAUUUCUUGCAAAUGUUUUAAGCCUAGGAUUCCAUCAAGGUAUUAAUAACCAAUUUAUUUUAAUAAAACCUUUCCAUUUUCCAUACAUAAAAUGUUUCAAAUUUCCCUUCAAAUAGUAACAGUGUAAUAUCUAUUUUAAAAAAUUACUGUUUAAUUAAAAAUUUUACCUUAUAUUGUUGGAAUACAGGGAAACACAUUUUAAAAUAUUAUAUACAUAAGACACAUUUAGCUCAAACACUGUAAAGAGUUUGAACAACUCUUGCUUUGUAUGCAAUAGAAGACAUUUUAGUGAAUCUACGUUGACAUACAAGCCAAGGGGUGAUAUUAAUAGUAAUGCAAAAUAAGAUAUACUUGAUUUUAUCAUGACUCUUAAACUAACCAAAAUACUUUUAUUUAAAAGAAAAGCACGGAGUUUAAACAAUUAAUAUUCACUCCAAACCAAGAUUAGUACAAGCUCAUGUCUCAAGAUUUCUAAUCUACUUAGAGCAAUUUUGAUAAGGAAAUAAAAAUCAAUGAUAUGGUUACCCAACGAAAACCCACUUUCAUAGCUAAAAAAAAAAGAUAUGUGCUGUUGUAUAACUUAACUGAUAUUUUAAAAUUACAUAAUUUAUGAGAGUUACUUCCUUAAAAUUAUCUCUCUCUCACUUUCUGUCCUCUCUCUCCCUGUUUUGUCUUUCUUGAUGCUAUUUAUAACUGUUAAGUGCCUAACCUAACUUCCUGUACUUGUACUGGUUUUAGGAUGUGUAUAAAUAAAUUUUAUAGAGAUGUCAUUGUAUCAUUUUAAAUUAUGGACAUCUAUUCAGUUAGUUAUGUUUUUUAAAGGAGAUGAGAAAGAAAACACUUUCUGAAUCUACAAAGUAUUCUUAUUUCUGAUGUUACUGUCUUUAUUCCAUUCUGUUAAUCAUAGUAUAAUCUCUCUUUGAAGUAUAAAAUAGUUGAGGAUCAGUUUUACGCCAGAAUUUAUAAGCUAUCAUGCUGAAAUCCUCCAAACCAGUAAGCACAUCAUAAACACACAAUGGAUAAUGGUAGUUUCAAUGGUCUCUGAAGUUGGUUUGGAUGUUAACAUAGCUCCAUCAUCUACUGUGUUACCUAAGGUAGUUCUUAAUAGCUCUGAGUCUUGGUAUAGCCAUUUGUAAAUUAUAAAAAGAAAAUCAAUAGCGCUACUAUAAUUGAGGCUAUUGUGAGAAUUAAAAUAAAAUGUAAUAUAAAAAUAAAAUACUAAAACAGUUUUUAACUUUAGUAGAUGCUGUCUAAACAUGUAGGUGCAAUCUUAUUAUUCUUGCUAGAUUAAAAUUAGCAACAGAAACUGAAAAUCAAAUAGAAGAUAUUAUUUUAUAACACUAUUUUCAGUUACCUUACAUGCUCUGAACAUGUAACACCAGCUCUAGUUCUGUAAAAUCUUAAGGAUUUAAUGUGAGCUACAGUAUUAAAAAUCACUUAAAUAAUGAUCCUCAUCCGCAGCGGAAUCUAUUUCAUGUUUAACGAGGUAUGUGUUUUGGAUUUCAUCCACGUCUGACAAAGCAGAGGCAUGGGCAUCAGUGUGUUUUGCAUUUUUUUGUGUGUUUUAUUUACUUAUAUUUUUUCUCACUGAAAUAUCCUAACUCAAACUUGUUGGCUUUCAUUAAUACUUAUGUUUAUAACAAUGUAUUGUAAUCUCUACCCCCAACAAACACACACAUUUAAAAUGUGAGGUUAGUAUUAAAAUUGGAUGUUUGUACUGAAACACAUUAUAUACUUCCCAAACUAUGUGUCUUUAUAACACAGAUGUUAAUUAGAAUAAAUAUGAAUAUUAAAAUGUUACCGAAAGGAAGAUAGUAAAUUCAUUUUCUUCAUUUAUUCUUCCCUAUUCAUGUGUCAGAGAAAGUUCUCAAACAUUGGGUCAUAUUUUGCAGAAAGAAGGACAUUUUCCUAGAGUACUAAUGAAGGACUUGAAGGCUUUUUCAGUUGGCUCUGAUUUUUACCUCACCACAUUGCCACUUCCCCUCGAUGCUGCCAGAAGGCCCUUAACUUUACUCCUCCAUUGAGUCCCUUUGGUCAUCUGGGCUGGCUUGAGUCACCUGCAGAAAGCAAGCCUUCUAAUCUUCACUUGGGACACUGGUAAUCUGUUUGUGAAGCUGUUUAAACACCAUCAGUUUCUUCCAGACUCCUUCCCUUUCACCUCUACUUGAACAUAUUAGUGUGUUACAAUUCUUUUUUUGUUUGUUUGUUUGAGACAGAGUUUCACUCUUGUUGCCCAGGCUGGAAUGCAGUGGAGCAAUCUCCGCUCACUGAAACCUCCGCCUUCCGGUUUCAAGCAAUUCUCCUGCCUCAGCCUCCUGAGUAGCUGGAUUACAGGCGCUUGCUACCACACCCUACUAAUUUUUGUAUUUUUAGUAGAGACGGGGUUUCACCAUGAUGGCCAGGCUGGUAUCGAACUCCUAACCUCGUGAUCCACCGGCCUCAGCCUCCCAAAGUGCUGGGAUUACAGGCGUGAGCCACCGCGCCCGGCCUUGUGUUACAAUUCUUUACCUGCCAAAUGGACCCUUUUGUGAGGAAAACAUGAGCAAAGAAUUAGAUGACCGAGUUUGGGAAGUCUGCAGUCUGAUAAUCUAUAAUCUGCAACAUUGCUCCCAGCAAUGUUUCAUGUGCACUCAAAUAGGCCACAUUAGCAUGGACUAUCUUUUCUCUCUCUCUUAGCCUAGCCUUGAUUCUUAUGUCAGCUGAGCCAAGUUGUAAUUCAUGUACGUCACUGACAAGAAAAGGGAAGCUGGUCAGAGGUAAUUAGUCCUACCUGUUGCUAUAGUUUGAGGCAGUACCUCCACAAUUCAGGUGCUGCCAAUAUGAUGGUAUUAAGAGGUGGGGCCUUUCAGAGCUGAUAAGUCCAUGAGGGCUUGUUACGUACCUCAUGAAGGUGAUUGAGUCCCUCAUAAAAGGGCUUGGCAGAGGGAAUUCCUCCCUUUUUCCUUUCCACCUUCAGUCCUAUGAGGACACAGUGCUCCUCCCCUCUACAGGAUUUAGUGUUCAAGGCACCAUUUUGUAAGCAGACAACAAACCUGCUGGCACAUUGAUCCUACACUGCUUGGUCUCCAGAAGGGUGAGAAAUAAAUUCUUGUUCUUUAUAAAUUACCCAGUCUGUGGUAUGUUGUUAUAGCAACACAAAUGGACUAAGACAUUUAUAGAGGCUGAAUUUCCUUGUGUCUAUCUUCUAUAUAGACCGUGUAUCAUCUUUGUCUUCUUAAAGCAUGCAAGAGAGAAAUGGAUAAAUGCAACUGGGCUCUUCUAAUUACUGGGAGAUAAAUUAUAACACUUCACAUCUCUACUUCCCAAAAUCUGGUUAUCUCUUACAGGAUAAUGUUAUAUUAUGCUAAAAUCAUAAUCCUUUCCUAGAAUCACCUUUGAAAAUGCUACAUUCUUUCUUUCUUCUUAUACACCUAACAGUGUUAUAGUAAUUAUGAUAUCAUUUAUAUGGUAUCUUAAUAAUCAACUAAAUAAAUUUGCUAAUUAUUGUAAUAAAACUAAUGCAUUUGGCAGAAAGGAACAUGUUUACAUAUAAGGACUUUAAAAUUUUAAUUUCCCUGACUGACGCUUCUUUUUAAAUACAUUUAUUCCAUUCCAAUUUAUUCUACAGUUGAAAGACUAAGAUUAGUCAAAGACAAAUUUUACCAUUUCAGAGAUUUAUUCAAACAUUUCCAAAACCUCCUUUUUCCUUAAUAACCCAAAUUCCAGUCCCAAUUUGGCAUCUGAAGUGCCUAAAAAUAGCGUGUGAUUAUUCCACAGAGCCCUUGAUCAUUGCAGUCCAGAAAUCUUUAAUGAUGACAGAUGAUGAAGGCAUGAGAACCACAGGGAAACAGAAUGGCCUCUGCAUUCCCUCUCCUAAGUCUGUUUGCCUCUACAAUUAUAGCCAGGGUGCCAUUCAAAAAUUAGCUUGAACACAACCUUUAACAUGGGUGAUGUGUGAUCCCCAUCCACAACCUACCUCCUGACAUUGCCUGAUAAUUGCUAAGACUCCAUCUCAUAGGUUACAGGAGCUACAUAAAUUUAAGAUGCCAUUUCUUGAUUAUAAGGGAGGUUUUUGGUCAAAUGUAGUUAAUAGCUUCACCUUUCAAGAUGACUUUUUUCUCUCAUAGACUGAGCAACACAGCUGACCUUAUUCAUAUAAUAAAAUGCCAUCCUGUCACAUAAGCUUGCAAACAUUCCAAAACAAGCUCAUUAGCAAAUAAUGAUGCCAAAAGAGUAACUUUUUAAAUGUCAAUAAAUACAUUUUACAUCCUUCAGAUAAUCUGUGAAACGUAACAGAUAAUUACCAGAGCUAUGCCUUUCUCUGCAAAGUUUUGAAAAAUUCUGUGAAAUUUAAGUUAUAUUUAAAACGUAAAGCACAUCAAUGAUUCUUUUUCUCCCAGUAUGAAAGAUUUUUAAUGAGAUUCUAAACCUAAGUGACCUAUUUACACAAACUCAACUGCUAGAUAAUGAGAAUGAGAAGGUGGUAAAAAUUUCAGUAAUAUAACCUCUAAUUCAAACCUUAAGUAUGUCUUCAAAAUACCUCAGAAAUACUUCCUACUCAAGUCUACACACACACAUGCACACCCACACAUGCACACACAUCAUUCAAGACAGGAAUAUUGAAAAAAAAAUCACCAUUGUUAAAAUGUCAUCUAUUCUGUGUACCAUCGACCUUGAAAUGUGUGGGCGGCAAGCCACCCGGGUGCCAAGGCAAGAUACUGAAGGCACAAGCUGUUCCAGUAUAAUAAAGAAAAUAUACAAAAUAAGAAGAGUUAUAAUAGAAAUAUAGAUAUGAUUAUAUAUGAAUAUUAUUAAUCAUCAGUUUGUAGCAUUACUCUUUAUUCCAAUAUUAUAAUAAUCCUUGCUCUACAAUUAUAACCUAGGAAAAACCAGGCCAUACAGAGAUAGGAGCUGAAGGGGCAUGGUGAGAAGUGACCAGAAGAUGAGUGUGAGCCCUCUGUCAUGCCUGGAUAGGGCCACUAGAGGGCUCCUUGGUCUAGCGGUAACGCCAGUGCCUGGGAAGGCAGCCGUUACUUAGCCGACCAAGAAAGGGAGUCUCCCUCUCUCCUGGGGAGUUAGAGAAGACUCUGCUCCACCACCUCCUGUGGAAGGCCUGACAUCAGUCAGGCCCGCCCACAGCCAUCGGGAGGCCUAAAUGUCUCACUGUGAUGCUGUGCUUCAGCGGUCACGCUCCUGUUUCACUUUCAUGUUCCACCCUAUACAUCUGGUUCUGCCUUCAAGCAGUAGCAGAAUUAGUGAAAGUACUAAAAAAGCCUUUGAAAUGCAUAGAAUAAUGGCCUAAGCUGUCCUCUCCGCCUUGGCUGCCAAACAGGGAAGGGCCCCCUCUCCCGUGGACACAUGACUCACGUGACCUUAUCAAUCAUUGGAAAUGACUCACACUCCUUACCCUGCCCCUUUUGUCUUGUAUCUAAUAAAUAACGGCGAAGCCAGGCAUUCGGGGCUACUACCGGUCUCCCCGUCUUGGUGGUAGUGGUCCCCCGGGCCCAGCUGUCUUUUCUUCUAUAUCUUUGUCUUGUGUCUAUUUCUAUGAUCUCCCGUCUCUGCACACGAGGAGAAAAACCCACAGACCCUGUAGGGCUGGCCCCUACAAAAUGCUGCAUUUUGGCUACAUGAUAUGGUUUGGCUGUGUCCCCGUCCAAAUCUAUCUUGAAUUGUAGCUCCCAUAAUUCCCAUGUGUUGUGGGAGGAACCUGGUGAGAGAUAAUUGAAUCAUGGGGACAAUUUCCCCCAUACUGUUCUCGUGGGAGUGAAUAAGUCUCACGAGACCUGAUGGUGUUAUAAUGGGAAACCCCUUUCGCUUGGUUGUCAUUCUCUGUCUGCCACCAUGAUUUGAGGCCUCCCCAGCCACGUGGAACUGUGAGUCCAUUAAACCUCUUUUUCUUUAAUAAUUACUCAGUCUUGGGUGUGUCUUUAUCAGCAGCAUGAGAACAGACUAAUACACUACGUUAAUGAGGAAGUGCUAUAGUUUACUAGGGUUCAGUUUAGUUCAACAAGUUUCCUAAAUAUCCAAAAGGGGUUAAACAUGGUUCUAAGCUAUGGGUAAAUACAAAUUGCUAUAUUUUAAAAUUGCAGGCUGGGCGUAAUCCCAGCACUUUUGGAGGCCGAGGUGGGCGGAUCACGAGGUCAGGAGAUCGAGAUCAUCCUGGCUAACAUGGUGAAAACCCAUCUCUACAAAAAUUACAAAAAUAUAAAAAAUUAGUCGGGGCGUGAUGGCGGGCGCCUGUAGUCCCAGCUACUCCGAAGGCUGAGGCAGGAGAAUGGCGUGAACUCAGGAGGCGGAGCUUGCAGUGAGCCGAGAUCGUGCCACUGCAUUCCAGCCUGGGUGACAGAACAAGACUCCAUCUUAAAAAAAAAAAAAAAAAAAAAAAUUGCAAUAAGCUGGCAAAUAUAAUUGUAAAUUAGUAUAAUAAAAUGACUAUUUGAAGUCUUCAUAAAUGAGGGAAUAUUUUAGCAAUAUUUAAGAAUUAUUUGAAAUCAAUUUCCUAGGGAUGGAGAUUAAAGAAUGUAUUCCAUGAAGAAGAAACUGCAUAGUGUAGAAAGGAGGUGGUUCACGCCUGUAAUCACAGCACUUUGGGAGGCCGAGAAGGGUGGAUCACGAGGUCAGCAGUUCAAGACCAGCCUGACCAACAUAGUGAAACCCCGUCUCUACUAAAAAUACAAAAAUUAGCCGGGCGUGGUGGCAUGUGCCUGUAAUCCCAGCUACUAGGGAGGCUGAGGCAAGAGAAUCGCUUGAACCUGGGAGGCAGAGGUUGCAGUGAACCGAGAUAGCACCACUGCACUCUAGCCUGGGCGACAGAGCGAGACUCUGUCUCAAAAAAAAAAAAAAAAAAAAACCAGAAAGGAGGCAUGGAAUAAUAUACCUUUGAAGAAGAAAAAACAGUCUCUCUUAAGGCUGUAUAUUUCAAGGAUUUAAUCAUUUUAGACAAAGAUAAUGCCAAAUGACCAAAUGACCAUUAUUUGCAGAUGUUUUAAUGGUCAUAAAUGUUUUCCUAGGAUUUUGUAGAGUGAGAAAAAUAAGUUCUUGUAGUGUGGAGCAUGAUACUUAUGAAGACUAUUGGGUAUAAUUGCCAAAUAAUACACUAUUAUAUAUUUCAUCUAUUUUUAACAUAGUUUUAUAAUUUAAAAAUACAUCAAAUGUUUGGAUGUCUUCUAGGAGACAGACAGACUUGAAAUUAAUUCAAUUUUAUAAAUGAUUCCCCUAAGAUUAAUAAUAAUAAAUGACAUGUUUAAAGUAUCUAAAUUGCAAUGUUAUAGAAGCAGAACAAAGCCCUAAUGUAAUAGUAAUCCUAGUGGGCUGUAGCAGCUGAAAUGAAAUGACUUUAAGCAGAUUUGGAUGGUUAUUACCCACAUGAAAUCCCUUAAGUGACUUUUCCCCUACUCACCCUUUCUUUUAGCAACUUCCUCACACCCCGUGGCCUAGGACUCUAGACAUGUUAAGAUAUGCUAAGGGAAUCAAAGAGUAGAACAUAGUCAUAAAUGGCAAAUCAUUUGACUUUACUACAUAAAAUGAAAAACUGAAGCACACUCUGUGAAAUCUAACAAGUUAUGCAUUGUGUAAAGAUAGGCAUUAUAAAAAAAACUUUUCCUCUUUGGAACAUUUAUAAAAGAAAUGAUAUAAACAUAAAUGACGUCCAUGCAAUCAGUUUAAGAAAAAUAUUAUAAAAAUGUUCUUAUUGUCUCACAACUUUGUUAGACUUUAUAACUACCUCCAUACUAAUGAAUGUCAAUAGUCAGGUUAUAUUUCUGUUUUCAUUCAUUUUCUAGUAUACUUCAGCCUAUAAGGUACAUUAUAAGGUAAGUAUUAGGGUCUUCUCUGUUGAAAGUAUUUGUUGUGAAACUAAAAUCAGAUCCUUACCUAAUUUAUUUGGUUGCAUGUUAAUUCUUCCAUAAAUUAUAUAGUACAGGAUAAAUGUGUCAAUACUGCUUUCAUUAAAUAAUUUUAAAAUUCAUUUGCCAAUGCAAAAAACAAAGAUCUUUUUUAAAGAAAAAAAAGUUAUGCAAAGAACAAAAUCCAUUUUCCAAUAAAGAUGUUAAGACCACAGUGAGGAAACAAAAAAUAUUAAAAUUAUUUGUCAAUGAAAAUCUGGUAUUCACUAUAUUUUUCUGUUAAUAUGAAUGUCUCAGCAUCAGUUUUGUUGGCUCACAAUAUAUUCAUGCAAUUUCACAGGAUGUGGCCUACAAGUUAACUUUUAUUUUUUACCAAUGAAGAAAAGACAGAAAUCUAAUAUUAAAUAAAGAAAUUCGUACUAAUAAAACUGUGGUAAUUCAUUUUUAAAAUAUGUAUUCAUUUCUUUCUUGCACAUUUUUCCUUUCUCUAUAGUAAUAUUUCUUAUUCAUUUCUUAAAAUUACUUUUGGUAAAAAAAUUAAAGCAAGUAUUAUUCUCCAUUACACUUAUAUUGUUGUUAGAAUCUCAAUGAAUAGUUUCCUCUACUUUUCUAUUGAAUAAUUUUAUGUAAAAUUCAUACUGUUUGUGAACACAUUUCUUUUAAUUAUAUACCCAAAUAAUUUUUUCUUAAAUAUUACUGAGCUGAAAUAUUUAAAUAUUAGCUAAAAUGUACUAUUAGGGAAUGAUAUCCUCAGUUAAUGACAAGAUAUGAGCUAUGUAGCCAAUUUUAUUUCAGGUAGAAAUUAUGGAAAACCUGCUCCUACUAUAUAUUCUAUUAUGCCAUGAAAAUCUGUAUCUCUGAUAUUCAAAAUGCAUCAGUAAAAAAUCCAAUAACAAUGCAAAAUUAGAAUAGAAUCAGUAAGGUUCUUAGAAUGUGAUCAAAUUAAACUAGGGCCUAAAAGUUCAAUAUUGUCUCAUAUUCAAGAAGAAUCACCUUAAGGUAAAAGCCAGGACCUCCACAGUUGAAUAAAAGGACACAGAUCAAUGAGUUACAUGAUGACAUUAAAAGACAAUGAUAAAUCUAUGUUCAUUGCAACAAUUGGGCCUAUAUGAAACCUAAAAGUGAAUGUAAAAUAAUGUGUUUUGUUGAAAACAUUAUAAUCAGAUGUAUUUGUUGUAUUACUAACUGACCCAAAAGAUUAGCAGACCCAUUAUGAAAACCAAGUAAUGUUGGUGUUUCACCUCCAUUGAAUCUUUGAGUGCUUCUUGAGAACCCAGGUAGUGUGAUUACAUCUAAUGUUACUACAAGUGAGGCACUGUAGCUCUUAGCUCUUGGGUCUGGCUGCCAUAACUAAAUACCAUAUACUGGGGGGCUUAAACAACAGAAACUAAUUUUCUCACAUUUCUGUAGCUAGAAGUCUAAGAUCACCAUACCAGCAUAAUUGGUUUCUGGUGAGAUAAUUUUUCCUUGCUUGAGGAUGGCAGCCUUCUCUAUGUCCUUACAUAGUUGAGGAAGAGAGAUAGAAAAAGCUCUCUUACGUCUAUUCUUAUAACCCUAUACUGAGGACUCCACCCUCAUAAUUUUAUCUAAACCUAGUUAUCUCUUAAAUUCCCCAUCUCCAAAUACCAUGGCAUUGUGGGGUUAGGGCUUAACCAUAUAAAUUUGGGAGAUGGGGACACAAUUCAAUCCAUAUAACUGAUUAUAUUAAAAUGAGCAACAGAAAAAUCAUUAGCACUAUUUGAUAUAACAUCAUGAUCUGUUGCCCCUAUACUAUUGUCUUUUCAAAUAAAUGUUUACAUUGACAGUAUUCAAUCAAAGAUAACUAAGCAGGUCUGAAAAUGCACAAUAUGCCAAAAAAUGAAGAAAAGGGGCAUAAAAAUCUACAUUAUUAAAAGAUCUAUAGAUGCUCCAGUUGUUGCAGUUAGCUUAAAGAAACUUUGCGGUAUACAGAAUUUUAAGAUGAUCAAGUUUCCUGUCCCUGAUUUAUACAUACAGACUUAUGUUUUCAAAAAUUAAUCCAGGUAUAGCUAUGAAGGAGUUUUUGAAGAUACAAUCAAGGUUCUAAAUCAGUUGAUCAUAAGAUACACAGAUAAUCCUCGAUGGGACUGAUCUAAUCAGGAAAACUCUUGAAAGGGUCAAGUCUUCUCUUGGCUAAAGGUCUUGGAAGUGUCAGAAAGAUUCAAAUUUAAAAGAAAAUCAUGGGAGAAAUGAAAUUCCUUUUGCAUCAUCACUUUCAUCUAGGAUAUACUCAAAUGCAUAUGAAAUUACUUGAGCCAUAUCUAUUUUAGUAAUUUGUUGCAAAAUAUAUCAAAUGUAAAAAAGAAAAAAAUUAUAUAGUUAUUUUAGUUAUACCCAUGUCAUCACCAAAGAGAAUUUCAUAACUUACUGUUUUGGAGUUUUAUUUUUUGGUUGUUACUUAGAUUUUUCUUUUUUUUAUGUAUUUUUUGCAUUUGGGUGGUUACUUCUGUGAAUUGUUUAUUCAUAGAAUUUGCAUAUUUACCUGUGUAUAUUUCUUUUUCUUUAUUGGUUUUACAAUAUGUUUAUAUUAUAGCUAUUGAUUCUAUUUUAUAUAUUCUGAAAACAUAUUUUCCAGAUAAUAAUAUAAGCUUGUAGGGUUUUUUUUUUAUUUUCUUUCUUUACUGUAUAUUUUUAUACUGGAAUGUUGAAUUUUGAUAUAAUUAGUAAUCAAUUCUUUACUUUCAUCUUUUUUUGUCUCAUUCAGAAAGUGUUCUCCACUCUAAAAAUAAAAUGGUUUGCUCACUGUUUAAAUUAAUUUUCAUAAAUUAUAAAAUACUGUUAAAAUGAGUGAAUUAGAAUAAAGAUAAAUAUUUUCACAAACUGUACACCUCCAUGUAACCAGAAUCUGAAUAAAUAUAAGUAAGAAUAACCAACAGUCAAGAGGCCCUCCCAUUCUCCCCUCAUCAGAGUAAUCACUAUCAUUUAUCUAACACCAUAAGUUUAUCUUGCUAGUUGUUGAAUUUUAUACAAAUGGAAUCCUAUAGUAUAUAUUGUGUCAAAUCAUAAAUGCAUGCUUUUCUGCACUGUCAUUUGCACACUCAACACUACAUAUUUUGAUUUUUUUUCUUAUGGGUUUUCAUAUACUUACAAUGAGGCUGUAUCAUUUUGAUUAUAAAAUCACUAAAUACUCUUUCAAAUAAAAUCUCUACCUCAUUGGCAUAUUGUCAUGUACCCAGUGCCUAUCUAAUGAAUCCAAGUGUGUUCCAGUUGUGACUUUCAAAUUUUUCUGCUCAGCCACAGCUUUCUCACAGGUGCUUCAUGGUAGGCCAAGUGAAUGAAUUGUGGAAGACAAAUGCAUAGGUAUAGUAUGAUCCCAACACGCUGCACAAUGAUCAUCCACUGAUUUCUUGGCUUGUUUUUUAAAAUAGAUUCCAUUUUGAGAAUACUGAGAUGAUUCAGUAUAUUCAGAAAUACAACUUGGGCAAACCUUCUUGCCAGACCUUGAUCCUGGAGGUUUGCUUAAGGAUUUUGAAAUAAAAUCUGAAUGAGACGAGAGGAAGGUUAAAAAAAAAAAAAAAAAAAAAGAACCUGUGGUUAUAAAGAGAAAUUUAAGAUUAACUGCAAAUAAUUAGCAGUUUAUACUUAAUAUAGCAUUCCUAUACAUUAUGCUAUUUGUCUUAGGAAUUACUAUCAUCAAGUGAUGAAUAUAGAAAAUAAAGCUCAGCUGUUGCCUAAGUUUCUAUGAUUAGAUGUUGGUCCUAUAAAAAUUCAAACUAAGGUUUUCUCACUCUCAUUUCACUGUUUUGACUUUUCCUAAUAACAACAAAAUAUGUCAGUUAAAUUGUAUCUCUAGGGUUGAAAAUAUGAUUGUUGUGAUUUUAUGCUAUCACAGUAUAGAAUAAUGUACUAGAAUAAAGAAAUUGUGGCCAGGCACGGUGGCUCACGCCUGUAAUCCCAGCACUUUGGGAGGCCAAGGCAGGCAGAUCACGAGGUCAGGAGAUCGAGACCAUCCUGGCUAACAUGGUGAAACCUCGUCUCUACUAAAAAAAUACAAAAAAUUAGCUGGGCGUGGUGGUGGGCGCCUGUAGUCCCAGCUACUCGGGAGGCUGAGGCAGGAGAAUGGCGUGAACCCGGGAGGCAGAGUUUGCAGUGAGCCGAGAUAGCGCCACUGCAGUCCUGCCUAAGCAAAAGAGCGAGGUUCCGUCUCAAAAACAAACAAAAACAAAAGAAACUGCUCAGUUGAAGCAAUUCAAACUUAAGGGGCAGCAGCAAACUAAAAUUUGUAUUUAAUUCAAUUAUAUAUUAAAAAGUAAAAACAUAAUGGGAAAUGAUAAAGGUAGUAGCAUGCUUUAGAAAGGCAAUUGCAUUUAUAAUCCAUGGGGAGCAUGUAGAGGCCAUCUGAGGACCUCAAUAUUUCAUACAAGAGGCUAUCAAAGGUAAUCCAGGUAUCAAGGUGUUUUCUAUAUUCUUCUAAUUUAUGUUCAACAAAAUAAUCUAAAGAUCAAAACAUUAAAAUGGAAUGUAGAUUGUUAACCUUUUCAGAAAUAUGUUGUGAUUUUUUUUCUGAAUCCUCAUUCAGUCAUUAAAUUAUUUUUAUGUACUAAAAUCAGCUGUAAAAACAGAAAUGACUCUUAUUUGGAAAAUGUAUUUAGAGUAAAAUAAUCAUGGAAGAGUUUGGUUGGUUAUAAUAUACUUUACAUAAGAUUUAUAAAAGCUAAUACUUUUUACCAACUACUUACCCUGAGUAAUGUCUUGCUCUGAAUAAUAAUAGUGAACAAAUAUAAAUAAGUAUUAAUAUAGAGCUCAUAUCUUCAGAGACUUUCAUAUAUAUAGAAAGAUAUGAGAAAAAUAUAUGAAGUAUCAAGAAUGGGAUAUUAUACUGUAUAAAUAUUUUUGAUUUUAUAGGUGAAUAGUUCAGAAGACUGAAUGAUUAAUUUGUCAUAAUCUGAAAUAAAUGAGCAUACUUAAAAUUACAUUUAAGCUUUUCAUAGAAAAUACGGGUCAGAAAUAAGAAAGGAUACAUGUUCUAUGUGCAUUUCACGUGCACUAUCAUUAUGAUUUUUACAACAAUGUUAUAUAUAACAUAAAUAUAUAUAAAAUCAACGUGUUUAUGUUCCAUGUCAUUUAAUUUUUAUUUUGCCCUAUCAAGGUUUAAAUCUUAUUUGAGAAAUAUUUUAUUUGGAAGCAGUAACAAGUUUAUUGGAAUCCAAACUGAAGAUUUAUAUCUCCUCAUAUUGAAGAAA